UACGUAGGCAGCGAGCGUUGUUCGGAGUUACUGGGCGUAAAGGGUGUGUAGGCGGUUUUCUAAGUUUGGUGUGAAAUCUCCCGGCUCAACCGGGAGGGUGCGCCGAAAACUGGGAGACUAGAGUGCGGGAUGGGAGAGUAGAAUUCCUGGUGUAGCGGUGAAAUGCGUAGAUAUCAGGAGGAAUACCGGUGGUGUAAACGGCUCUCUGGACCGCCACUGACGCUGAGACACGAAAGCGUGGGUAGCAAACAGG
RNAcentral lists this ribosomal RNA (253 nucleotides) under uncultured bacterium. RNAcentral describes it as "partial 16S ribosomal RNA". It matches the Rfam family "Bacterial small subunit ribosomal RNA", at positions 524 to 776 of the family's 1533-position model. The record is from RNAcentral.